This 408-nucleotide ribosomal RNA is filed under the name uncultured bacterium. RNAcentral describes it as "partial 16S ribosomal RNA". It matches the Rfam family "Bacterial small subunit ribosomal RNA", at positions 28 to 526 of the family's 1533-position model. The record is from RNAcentral.
GACGAACGCUGGCGGCGUGCUUAACACAUGCAAGUCGAACGAAGUGGCGAACGGGUGAGUAACGCGUAAUCAACCUGCCCUUCAGCGGGGGACAACAGUUGGAAACGUCUGCUAAUACCGCAUACUGAAGGAGGGGAUUGCGGCUGCUUAGCUAGUUGGGGGGGUAACGGCCCACCAAGGCGAUGAUCAGUAGCCGGUCUGAGAGGAUGAACGGCCAAAUUGGGACGUAGAACAGGCCCAGACUCCUACGGGAGGCAGCAGUGGGGAAUCUUCCGCAAUGGACGAAAGUCUGACGGAGCAACGCCGCGUGAGUGAUGACGGCCUUCGGGUUGUAAAGCUCUGUUAAUCGGGACGCGGUACCGGAAUAGAAAGCCACGGCUAACUACGUGCCAGCAGCCGCGGUAAUUC